CUUCAACAUGACAGCCCUACAAACAAUGGAAAAUUGUCAUCUCUUCUUAUUCUUCUGUAACAGGCCUUUUCUUUAGGAGGCCUCUUCCAAAUUCAAGGAAAAUAAGAUACCAGUGUGAUGCUUCUGACCCACUGUGGAAAGAGUCUGCGCUCUGAGGUCCCUUCUCUCAGUGGCAGUUUCAAUGUCCCUAGAAUUGAAUGGACAGGUGAACGGACUCCAUGAGAACAAUGAUUAGAGAUGGGCAAUAUCCUUUAUGCCUUAUCAAAUCUCUCAGGAAGCUAGAAAUAUUGAAGUGGCCUAGACCUGAGUGUGACCAGCUGACAGUGUUGGACGAGUCUCAGCCUCUGAUACAGCAGGAUUGAAGGGACUGCCAAACUGAUUGGGCCCUUCCCAGCAAUGGUUCGUCAGAGAUCACACAGAACGUUGUGCUUCUGCGGCUCAAGAUGACAAGCUGUUUCUCACAUCGGACUUGUAGAGUGAAAGAGAACAACUCAGCUUAAUGAAGUGAC
Equus caballus (horse) is the source of this 509-nucleotide long non-coding RNA. NCBI's taxonomy places the organism in Eukaryota, Metazoa, Chordata, Mammalia, Perissodactyla, Equidae. The record is from Ensembl.